Molecule: long non-coding RNA, 1241 nt
Filed under: Bemisia tabaci
Lineage: Eukaryota; Metazoa; Arthropoda; Insecta; Hemiptera; Aleyrodidae
Description: lncRNA ENSSSA2NGG001778
Source: RNAcentral
AAAAUUUACAUACAUUUCCUCAAAAAUGAAUGUUUUAUAAACAGGAAUUUGGCAACAUUCGUAUGUUCUACCUUCGUGUGUUCUUCCUUAGCACAGCAGUGCAGAUUGUCUGACAUUAUUUUGUUAUCUUUAAAAAAUUUCCAAUCUGUGUUUUUUUCUCGGAAUUUUGUCUGAUUCCUUGCCUUACCAAAAAUAUCUGCAUUCAUCAAUACUUGUGUUAUCUAUGUAACUUCACCAGCAAUAAGUUUUUCAGCACCUAACUACUGUUGCCGCGCUUCACUGUAUUAACUGUGGUUUUCAUAGGAGUUGAAGCUGAACCUCAUAGCUGCCAAAGAAUAAUGCAGUUUGCAUGUUACCAACAUCAAAAUAACUUUAUUACAUGUAUCUCCGUGGAUAAACUACUCAAGUGAUCUCUUUUAACAAGGUGCUGCCAUAAACCUGUUGAGGGGUUUAAAUAAAUAUACUGUAGUACUGUAUAUACUGUAUAUUGUUUGUGUGAACGUUUCCUUUGAAUGAAGCAUACUUCUCAGGAAUUUUGUAGUCUUAAUUUUUCAUUUUCAGCGCCUUGAAAGUAACCUUCCGAUCAACUUGCAACCAACCUAUCGUGAAGAAGUAAACACGGACAACAAAAAAGUUCAAGAGAUUGCAAGGUUUUCCCUCCAAACCUUAGAAAAGCUAUCUGAAUCCAAUGAACCGUUAGAACUUUUAGAGGUCAUCAAAGCUUGGAAACAGCUUGAUGAUGUGCUCAUCUAUGAUCUGCAAUUGAGAGUUGGAAAUUCUACUGGUAUUCAAAUUUGUAACGCCAAAGUUCUGGUGCCAAAAACUGUCCAAGGAUGCGAAAGUGAUAAAGCACUUUGUGAGAACAAAUCGUGUCCAGCAAGGGACAAAGUAAGUGGUUGUAAUGUUCUGAACUCAAUUUUUCUUUUCUUCAGUUUUGUUUUUAUAUUAUCAGUAUUUCUAAGGCCUUGUCUCCACGGGACGUUUUCAUGGGAUUUGUCCCAAGUUCGAAUCGCAGGAGUGAAACUUCUGGGAUUUUUCCCAGUUACCGUCUCCACGGGACGGGGCUCAUACGGUCCUGCGACUAGUUUGCGCGGGAAGAUAAAUUAGAUAAAGUCGAGUAUUUAACGGGGGUUAAAAUAAUAAUUGCACUCAAUUGACAAUUAGACACAUUAUUUUAACCAAACAAACAUUAACAAUGGAGUAAUCAACAAAAUAUCGCACAAUUCGUUUACACUUCUUCU